CAAUCUGUAUAGAUUUGCAUUGCUAACAGAGUCAAAAGGGGAAAUCAAUUGCACAGGAAUGUUGUCCAAGCACAAUUUACAGAAGGCCUACAAUGAAUGGCUUCUACCUCUUCGAACCUUAGUGACUGGCAUUGCAGCAGAAAACAAGACUGAGUAUGAUCAAAUAGCGAUCGAGACGGUAUGUGCUCUAAACCCAAUUGAAUUAGUUUUAUAUCGAUGUAUCGAGCUUGUUGAAGAAAGGUUGAAAAAUUUAACCUAAACAAUCCCAUAUCUCUUAAACUAUUAAUGUAAACAAUCCAACUUUUUCUUAGUGAUGAAA
Non-coding RNA from Carica papaya (papaya), 319 nucleotides. Lineage: Eukaryota; Viridiplantae; Streptophyta; Magnoliopsida; Brassicales; Caricaceae. The record is from RefSeq and is a predicted model, not a curated record.